AGUUCUGCCAGGUGACGCUCGUCCGCCCAAGUGGUGUGUUUUGGGCGUGCAUCUGGCCCCUUCAAGGGGAACUUGUUGCACUUUAUUGUGUGGCGCGAGAUCCUUGACUUUUACUUUGAGGAAAUAAGAGUGUUCCAAGCAGGCUCUCGUCGUGCAUAGCUCAGCAUGGAAUAAUAGCAUUGGACUUCGUUUCUACGCUGUUGGUUGCAAGAAGCGAGGUAAUGAUGAAUAGGGAUAGUUGGGGGCAUUCGUAUUUAACUGUCAGAGGU
Molecule: ribosomal RNA, 269 nt
Filed under: uncultured eukaryote
Lineage: Eukaryota
Description: partial 18S ribosomal RNA
Rfam family: Eukaryotic small subunit ribosomal RNA (bases 73-269)
Source: RNAcentral